AGGAUGAACGCUGGCGGCGUGCCUAAUACAUGCAAGUCGAGCGAACGGACGAGAAGCUUGCUUCUCUGAUGUUAGCGGCGGACGGGUGAGUAACACGUGGAUAACCUACCUAUAAGACUGGGAUAACUUCGGGAAACCGGAGCUAAUACCGGAUAAUAUUUUGAACCGCAUGGUUCAAAAGUGAAAGACGGUCUUGCUGUCACUUAUAGAUGGAUCCGCGCUGCAUUAGCUAGUUGGUAAGGUAACGGCUUACCAAGGCAACGAUGCAUAGCCGACCUGAGAGGGUGAUCGGCCACACUGGAACUGAGACACGGUCCAGACUCCUACGGGAGGCAGCAGUAGGGAAUCUUCCGCAAUGGGCGAAAGCCUGACGGAGCAACGCCGCGUGAGUGAUGAAGGUCUUCGGAUCGUAAAACUCUGUUAUUAGGGAAGAACAUAUGUGUAAGUAACUGUGCACAUCUUGACGGUACCUAAUCAGAAAGCCACGGCUAACUACGUGCCAGCAGCCGCGGUAAUACGUAGGUGGCAAGCGUUAUCCGGAAUUAUUGGGCGUAAAGCGCGCGUAGGCGGUUUUUUAAGUCUGAUGUGAAAGCCCACGGCUCAACCGUGGAGGGUCAUUGGAAACUGGAAAACUUGAGUGCAGAAGAGGAAAGUGGAAUUCCAUGUGUAGCGGUGAAAUGCGCAGAGAUAUGGAGGAACACCAGUGGCGAAGGCGACUUUC
This 721-nucleotide ribosomal RNA is filed under the name Staphylococcus aureus. Its description in RNAcentral is "bacterial SSU rRNA". It matches the Rfam family "Bacterial small subunit ribosomal RNA", at positions 26 to 729 of the family's 1533-position model. The record is from RNAcentral. Lineage: Bacteria; Bacillati; Bacillota; Bacilli; Caryophanales; Staphylococcaceae.